CCCACUCCAUAAGCAAGCAGUACAAGUAGCAGUACAUAUUUUUCCUUCUCUGAUGUGCUAUUGCCCGACUCAAAACUUGCAUGAAGUGCCCAGCCGCUGCUUCAUCCUUUGACCUGCUGCUGCCCUUGCGCGCUCCUGCAGUGCUUCUUUGAGCAGUUCCUGGAACUUUUCAAGGAAGACAUUCCACUCAUCGGCACUCAUAUCCGAUAGCCUGACAAAACACAUACUUGAUUGAAGUUGUUCAUCCGCACUCCUGUUCAUGGCACUUUUUGUAGCUUUGCUAGGAAAAUUGGGUGUAUUCCAUCCGGUGUAAAAGACUCGAUCAGAUUCAUUUUGAUCUUCAUGGCCAUCAUUGCCCUCUUCAACGCUUUCGACGAGCUUAGACAGAGAGCUUCUGUAACUAGACCCCUUGAAACCUGAGCCAUUGAAUCUUGGCGAUCGCAUUAAAUCAUUGUAUUCUCCUAACAUAUCCAUCGAGAACUGGAAAUCAAUGUCACCCUCUUGCUCAGCUGUAGCAGAGAAUGGCUCCCAUUCUGCUACUCUCUUCCUGGCCUCCAUACACACAACCUCCAGCUGGCUUGGUUCCUCCUCCAUCCCUCUGAACUCCCUUGUCAUCAUCUCACCUAUCUCUGCCAAGCAAAGUCCGAAAGCUGCAGCUUUCUUGAGAAAGAUUGUGCACAGGACCAGGACACGCAAGCAGGCCUCACGUAUCAUUGGAAGUUCUCUGCGCAGCAUCAUCACAUCCUUUCCUGGAUCAAGAUUUCUGAUAUACUCGAGCUCUUCCUCAGAAAACGGAAUCGAUGCCUGUGCCCAAUGUAUCCACUCGAAGUAAGGGUCCUCCAAGUUCUCUGGCAAGCACAUGCCGUGAUCAAUUGGGAACAGCUCUGUCUGGCAACCGAAGCGACCUGUGCCACCAUUAAGCUUCCUCACCAGCACAUUACCAGCAUGCCUGUCAGUGUUGAAAAUUCGGAUAUCUAGUAUCCCGAUCCUAUGAACAGCAGCAACAGGGAAGCUUGAUGUGCCAUGGUCACUGGCAUCGAAGUCAUGGGCAAUGAACUGCUGGAAUGAAGCAAUCUUGCUGUUAACUUGCUGCUUCUGGUCAUGAGUUGGAGACGGAUUCCCCCCAUUUACCGGACAAUUUAUGUUGAAAAUGGAGUGUGUUAUCUUCACCAGAGCAGUGGCAGGAACAUUGGCAAAGUUGUCAUGGUCCAACAGGUAUGCUGCAACCUCCCUGAAUCCCGUCUCUCCUACUCGCACAGAUUUCUUCAGUCCUGGCUGACCAAGCGCCCUCCCGACAAAACCCUUGGGAUUAUUUGGUGCAAAAGGCUCCUCGUCCGUCGGUUUCACAAUGGCAACCCUGUCACCAAUGACAUUCCUGAAGUAGUAUGAGCCACCAAGGCCGCUGCUGAUGGGGACUGGAUCCACCCCGCUCCUGAUAGCGGUCACCACGUCCUCGACAAGGCGCUUCACCCGAUCACAGCUGCUGGAACACCCGAGCAUCUCAACCAGGCCACUGCAAUCCUUUUGCUCGAAGUCCUUGGAGACGGGGCAGAGGCAUGGGGUGGAGCAGCUCCGGUUGAUGCUGUUCCUGGUGAGCAGCAGCGGCGAGUCCGACCGUAUGGAGGAGAGGUCGUUCUCCAGGACGCGGUCACCGAACGUGAGCGAGGUCUCGCCGGUGGGCACGUUGAGCGCGAGCUGCAGCCGGCGCUUGACGGUGUGCGCGUUGUCCCCGCGGUCCAGGUCCAUGCCGAGCACACAGCCGGUCUCCGUCUGCACGUACACCCGCCGCCUCCCCACCGGCGCCGUGGACGGGGAGCGCGACAGCUGCUUCGCCUCAUCCCGCCUGGACGCGCCGAAGAGGCGCCUCAGGAGCAGCGCCGGCACCUGGCUCUUGAUGGCGCUGUCCAGGUUGGGGGACAUGGCUUAGCUUCCUCCUCUUCUUGGAGCGCGCGCCGUGCGGGGUGGACGACGCCGUCAGGGAGAGGGGAAGGCGCGCUCUUGUUGCUAUCAUUGGAUCACGCCUGCAAAACCAACCACCAAAAAGAACCCAAAUCUUUCCACUGAAUCCCUCGACCAAACACCGAAAAAUGACAACUUCCCUAAGAACUCGCCGUGAAUUCGACUGUCCGGAACAUGGAAAGCAAGAAUUCAAACUGAUUCAAGGAGGGACGGCAAUUUGAAUCUCAGCGCUCACCAUGCGAGGGUAAGGUGCCCGUGGAGAAGGGGGUGUGGGGGAUAGCCGCAGGGAUCGGCCGGGGCGGCGGGACGGCGCGGCGGCAGGCUGGCGGCGGAGCAGAGCCCAAUUCCUCAUUCCAUCUGCGCGCCUCCGUCCACCACCGGAGUCCUGACCUCUACUGC
This 2358-nucleotide long non-coding RNA is filed under the name Setaria viridis. Its description in RNAcentral is "long non-coding RNA (SVIR_LNC002530)". Lineage: Eukaryota; Viridiplantae; Streptophyta; Magnoliopsida; Poales; Poaceae. The record is from RNAcentral.